CAUAAUGGAGUACAUAAGAGAAGUCACAAAAUUGGGUGAGUUCUGUUUGAAAUACUAUCAAUGGCUCUAGGAUUGAAGCCUGAAUAUUUGAAAGAUAUGGGAUGCUUCAAUUUAUACCUCAUUGUCUGCAACUACCAUCCGCACUGCCCACAGCCAGAGCUGACUUUGGGAGCUAGAAGGCACUCUGAUCCUCAUUCCUUACAAUUCUGUUGCAAGACCAAAUCUGUGGCCUUCAAGUCUUUCAUGAAAAUCCAUGAAAAUCAGUGGAUUGAUGUUAACCCUAUAUCAGGAGACUUGAUAGUAAAUAUAGGGGGCUUUCUCUAGGUUUGUCUUUGAAAAUAAUAGAGACAACUAAUCUUCCCAUCAUCUGCUUAAUUUUCGUGUUUUAAUAGUAACUAUAUAUGCUAAUUAAUGUUUUCAAUAAUUAAUUAAUUCAGGUUAUAUCAAACGAUAAGCUCAAGAGUGUUGACCAUAGAGUCGUGGCCAAUGUUCAUGCCACUGCAAGGGUUGCUGUGGCAUGCUUUUUCACAGGACAUGCUGCUGAAGCGCAGAAGCCCUUUGGACCGAUCAAAGAGUUGAUCUCUGAAGAAAAUCCACCUGUUUACAGAGAAUUUCUAGUGGGAGAAUAUAUGAGCAAAUGCUUUUCCAGAGAACUUCAAAGCAAAUCUGCUGGCCUCGAGCAGUUCAAGCUUUAAAAGCAGCAGUAUACUUGAAUAGAGUUCUCAAAUGCUGUAAAUUGAGUAUGUACUAAUGUUAAUAUCUGCCCUUGCCAAUAAUUUCAAACUACAUGUUUCAAAUAAGUAAGAGAUUUUAGAGUAUAUUAGAAGUACUACACUUAAUUAAUUGUUAAUUAUAUCUAAUUAAACUACACAUGCUAUAUAUAUAUAUAUAUAUAUAUAUAUAUUAAAUGUAGUACUUUUUAUGUACUCUUGACUCCGUUCCUGUGUUUGUAGCAUCUUAUAUCUAUUGACAAGUUGAAAACUGUAGAGCACCGUGCUUAUAUCUAAUGACAAGUAAGCAAAAGAUCUAGACUGUACAGCACCGUGCUUUGGCAAAUCAUAUUGGCCCCAGAGUAUCUGUGGCUUGCUUUUUCACACCACAUCCUUAUCUGUGGCUUGCUUUUUAGCCAAGUGGAUGGUUGUGCUGGAGCCGUACUGGUGCACAUUGACAUCCAUGUGCUUCUCAAUGUUUGCCUUCACGCGUCGAAGUUGGAUUUGAAAGAAAAAGCAGAUGAACGAAAAACCAAUUAUGACGUUUAUUUACUUCUGGAAGGAAAAUUAUUUGAAUAUCUCUGCUGGAAGUUAACAUCCUUGAAUCCUUGACUGCGAGUGCAAUGGUGUGAUCUCUAUCAAGCAAUAAGUAAGCUUGAUUUUAAGCCAGGCCGUUUACAAAUUAUAACUAUCCAAUGUUUAUGCUCAUUAAUUAUUUUUGAUACUUAGUUGAAAAGUAUUAAUAUAAGCCAUAAGACUACCAUCUAUGCUCAUCAUUUUCUUGUCGAAAACAGACAAUGGAUAUCUCCGAUGCCAGUAGAACGACCACGCAAACUGUGACGGACUACGACAGAGCUAAAGAGGUUCAGGCUUUUGAUGAUACAAAAGCCGGUGUCAAAGGAUUAGUGGAUGCUGGAAUUGUGAAUAUUCCGAGGAUAUUCAUUCGACCGCCUGAGGAGCUUGUCGAGGAGUUGACCAGUCAUCAGACCAAUUCUCAAGUACCGGUUAUCGAUCUUGAUGGCGUCAGAGGCAAUAAGCUUGAGGAGAUUGUUGAUCAAGUUCGGGCUGCAGCAGAGACAUGGGGCUUCUUUCAAGUGGUGAAUCACGGUAUUCCCUUAAAUGUGUUGGAAGAGAUUAUUGAAGGGAUACGCAAGUUUAAUGAACAAGACGUUGAGUUGAAGAAAGAGUUUUAUACCCGUGACCGGGCAAGAAAUGUCAGAUUCAACAGCAACUUUGAUCUGCAUUACUCCCGGACAGCUAAUUGGAGGGACACGUUGACAAUUUCUGCUUUAGCUUCCACCGAUUUAGACCCCAACGAAUACCCAGAAGUUUGCAGGUACAUAAUUUGAUCACUCUCUAUGUAUAGCAUUAUCUCCCAACAUCUGAAUCCAACUGAUUGUUUAAUAUACAAUUGGAUACACUUUAUGGAAAAGCAUUGAGCUUGCUACCACAAGUUCUUAUAACAAGUUCAUUUGGCGCAAAAUUUGUUGAAGUUGAAAAAGUCUUAAUUGGGACAAACAGUUGCUGCAACUGCUGAGAUUUUAAGUUAAUUUUUAAGAAAUUAUCAUUCUACCUUAAAUUUAAUAAAUUGAUGGUUUUUCUCAAGAAAUUAUUUGCUGCUGCAUAUGAGCACCCCACUUUAUGCCCACUCAGGCAUUUAAUGAACACUUCAUAGAUAUUAUCAAACACCCGUGAACACCUUGUAAUAGACGUGAACACAAAUCAUCAACAGACAACCGACUAUAAGAGCAAUUUAUGUGUGGUUCAUUGAAUUGGCUUAUGUACAUCUAAGCUCCAAGCAUUCGAUAUCACAAAGUUGUUCUUCUAAACGAAUCAACAGUUUUGCAUUUUUACAGGUCUAUUGAACUUAAUUAAUUGGUGAUCGCAUUGAUAUUCCUUUUUCUUUUUCUUUUUUUCUGUUAAUCCGCAAUUGAUUGUAUAUUUUCCUGUACCAAUUGCUCCCAAAAAUUUGCAGAGAUGCUGUGAGAGAGUACAUUAAAAAUGUCACAAAAUUGGGUGAAACUCUGUUUGAAUUAUUAUCACUGGCUCUUGGGCUGAAGGCUGAACAUUUACAAGAGAUUGGAUGCCCUAAAGAAUACACCCUUCCCUGCCACUACUAUCCAUCUUGCCCUCAGCCAGAUUUGACAUUGGGAGCUACCGGGCAUUCAGACCCUUCAUUUCUUACCAUUCUUCUGCAAGACCAAAUCGGCGGCCUUCAAGUCUUUCAUGACAAUCAAUGGGUUGGUGUCCAACCCAUUGUGGGAGGCUUAGUGGUAAACAUAGGGGACUUCCUCGAGGUUUGUCUUUCACAAUUACAAUGAAUAUUUUUUCCACAAUCAUGCCAAUCUUCAUCAAUCAUCACGACAAUGAGGUGUCUUAAAAUUGAAUCAGGUUGUAUCAAACGACAAGUUCAAGAGUGUUAACCACAGAGUAGUCGCCGGUCAUGUCGGUCCAAGGGUUUCCGUGGCAUGCUUUUUCAUGGGACAUAAUGCAGAAAUCCCAAAGUCUUAUGGGCCGAUCAAAGAGUUGACAUCUGAAGAAAAUCCUCCUAUUUACAGAGAUUUUCUUCCAAGUGAAUGUUUUAGCAAACGAUUUUCUAUGGCGGUUGAUGACAAUUCUCUCCUCCAUCAGCUCAAGCUAUGAAGCCGACAGUAUUUGUAUUAAUUAUUCGUGUUUGUUACCAACAAUUUACAAAUUGCGGAGCCCUGUUGUGAACUCUUUCCCAGUAAUUCCGAAAAAAAUGUUUCAACUAAUUAAUAACGUAUGAAUCGUCCAAUGUUGCUCUUUACUUUCUUCAAUUAUUAGAAUGUCCCUCUGCACUGCUCCUUAUUAGUGUCAAAAUUGUUCAGCCAGCGCUCAGUACAUAUACUGGACUUUUUAUUGUUUUUAGAAUUUAGAAAGAGUCCGACUAUUGGCAGCCCUCUAUAAUCCUUAUAAAACCCGUCCUCUAUGAUAAUACAUUAAAGAACAAAAGAAAUCUAACUAAACCCUUAUAUUUUCUUUCUCUAACUCUUUACACCUAUAGAACUGUUAGGAAUAUUCUAGAAAGCUCCAGAUUUCUCCAGUAAGCUCAAGAUUGCUCAGGUUGUUGAGAAGCUCAGCUGAUGCUAAGAGAGUUAGUUAACACUCACGUGUGUGUGUAAGCCAGCAUGGCGUUAGACUGUUAUAAAUUGUACAGCUGUCAAAUUGUUAUUGGUGAUACAUUAGUUAAGUUUGUUAUGUAAGUGUAAUAUAAAUACUAGCCUCUGUAUUACUUCAUUCAGUUAAGUAAAAUGAAACAAACUUUCUUUCUUUCUCUAAUAUUUUCUCUUUGAUUGCUGGAAACCGAAAACUUUAUAACUUUCACAAGAACCAAUCCACUGUUUUUCAUAAUUUUUUUUUUCUCACAAACACUUUGCAUUUUUAUUAUUGUCAUUCUACAAAUAGAUUCUCACUCUUAUCGAUAAUCUCCUCAUUCAUUUUCAAUUUCUUAUAUAACCUUGAGCAAUAAACUUUUUUAAAACUAUAGAAAAUCCACUUUUAAUUCUAGUUAAUUCCAACAUACAUGAUUUUUUUUAAAGAGUUAAAUGUAUAUGAUUUAAUUGUUAACUCACGUGUGUGUGUGUGUGUUAACUCACGUGUGUGUGUAUAUAUAUAUAUAUAUAUAGCAAGUCACGUGUAUAUAUUAUUGGUUGUUAUGUGUUUCCUAGUUUGAUAGGAUUUCCUUGUGAACUAGGUAAUUCUUAUUUAGGGUAAUUCUUAUCAACUAAUGUACAUAUAAAUAUUGAUCAAUAGAGAACAAAGAGAAGGACAAAAAGGGUGGUUUUCCAUCGUGAAUUUCUUCAUGGUAUCAGAGCAUAAUGGAAGACCAAACAAAAACAAAAACAAAAACAAAAACAAAAGAUAAAGAGGCUAGCGGAAGUGGAUUGGGCAAGACAGUGAUGUCUCCUUACUUCCUUUCGGCCAAUGAUAAUCCUGGAACUAUCAUCACUUAGGUGCAACAUGAAGGAACCAACUAUGACGAGUGGGCAAGGGAUAUGCGGACUGCAUUGCACGCCAAGAAGAAAUUCGGUUUUGUUGAUGGAAUCGUGAAACAGCCUGCUGAUGACUCGGCUGAUUUGGAGGAUUGGUGGGUGGUGAAUUCAAUGUUGGUUUCCUGGAUACAGAAUACAAUUGAACUGAACCUGCGAUCUACUGUGACUUAUACAAAAGUUGCUAAGUUGUUGUGGGAUGAUAUCAAGGAACGGUUCUUUGUUAGCAAUGGACCAUGUGCGCAACAACUCAAAUUUGAGUUGGCAAAUUGCAAGCAGUGAGGUAUGACUAUUUUGAAUUAUUAUGGGAAACUCAAGAUGUUGUGGGAAGAAUUGGGUAAUUACGAACAAUCGCCUGCUUGUCUAUGCGGUAAUUGUACGUGUAAUCUAGGCGCGGAAUGAGAUAAGAAAUUAGAUGAAGAAAAAUUGCAUCAAUUCUUGAUGGGUCUUGAUGAAGCCCUGUACGGUGGUGUGCAGUCUCAUAUUCUAAGCACCGAGUCGCUGCUAAAGUUGAACCGUGCCUGUGCCAUAGUCAUUCUGAAGGAGCAGGUUCAGUCAAUGACACGUGCUAAAGAAGAACAGAGUGAACAUGUAGCAUUUGUCGUUCAAGCCGCGCAUGGAAUAUGACAACCUGGAUAAGUCUUCUGUACUUUGUACCCAUUGCAACAAGAUUGGACAUGAAGCAUCUUCUUGUUUCCAGCUUAUUGGGUAUCCUGAAUGGUGGGGUAAAUGGCCAAAAGCCAUGAGGAAUGCAGGUUGUGGUCGUGGCAAUUCACGACAGAAUGGUGGAAACAAUGGGCGUGGUCGUGGAGGUCCUGCUCGGGCCAACGCUGCUCAAGUCGCGACAGGGUCUAACAGUCCGUCUGAAGAACUCCUGGAAUCAGCCGCAAGCGGUCUCAGCGGUUUGAGCAGUGAACAAUGGAACACAUUACUUAAUCUUUUGAACAGUAAAAAAGACAGCACCUCACGGAUCAGUGGUAAGCUUAAUUCAAUGGAGUGGAUUCUUGAUACUGGGGCCUCACAUCACAUGACAGGAAAAAGAAAAAAUCUUAUGCGACAUUGUAUAUAUUAUUCCCUGUUCUAUUUAGCUGCCUGAUGGAAACACGACAAUGACAAAUACAGAAGGAACAGUUGUACUUGCUAGCCACCUGCGACUGAAUAAUGUUUAUUUGUGCCAAGUUUAACUUGCAAUUUAAUUUAUGUAUCGCAACUGAUUCGAGAUGCCAAUUGUUUUAUUCAAUUUUCUGAUCAAUUAUGUGUGAUCCGGGACCGCAUUACGAGGAUGCUAAUUGGAGCGGGUGAGCAACGAGAGGGACUCUAUUAUUUCCGGGACAUUGGUUCGGCCGCUGCUCUGUUUAGUGUUACCAACCGAGCUUAUGAUUUAUGGCAUCAAAGGUUGGGGCAUCCUUCUUCUAAAGUUGUUCAGUUGCUCCAUUUUAUUGAUUCGGCUUAUUGUCUGUCUAGUUUUCAGAAUUGUGAUAUAUACUUUCGAGCAAAACAGUGUCGUGGCAAAUUUGUGGGGACUUUAUCGCACAGCUAAUUCUUGUGGUGCUCAUUAUUUCUUGACUAUUGUUGAUGAUUUUUCUCACGGUGUUUGGACAUAUCUGCUAGUCGCGAAGAAUGAGGUUGGGCUUGUAUUACGCAUUUUUUUUAGUAUGGUCUCUAGACAAUUCCAUAAACUCGUUAAAAUCAUACGGAUAGACAAUGGGACAUAAUUUAUGUAUUUAUCUGAUUUAUUUGCUGAGCAUGGCAUUCAUCAUCAGACAUCUUGUGUGGGUACUUCUCAACAGAAUGGUCGAGUCAAACGCAAGCAUCGACACAAUCUUAAUGUUGCUCGUGCUCUGCGCUUUCAGGCUUUCUUACCAGAUGAAUUCUGGGGUGAAUGUGUGUUAACUGCUUGCUAUUUGAUCAAUCGAACACCUUAUGUUCUUCUUGACGGACGAACUCCUUAUGAACGACUAAAGAUUAUGUCUUGCAUACUGUUCAGCAUUUGAGUCCCUCUUUGCGGCCCCAUUCAUGCUCACAUGCUCAAUCACUUCCUGCAGGUAGUCCUUAUCCCAUACUUGAUUAUGUGAAUUGUAAUAAUUUUUCUGCUCGACAUUGUGCUUUUCUAGCAGCGAUUACUGUAGGAGUUGAGCCUGCCUCUUUUGCUGAGGCCAUGAGAGAUCCUAGAUGGCGUGAGGCCAUGAAGUCUGGAUUGCAAGCUCUGGAAAAUAAUAACACAUGGACUGUUGUGUCUCUACCACCUGGAAAACGUGCCAUAGGCUGUAAGUGGGUGUGCCGGAUUAAGUACAAUGCCGACGGUACAGUUGAAAGAUACAAAGCUCGCUUGGUGAUCCUUGGGAACAAGCAAGUUGAAGGAAUUGAUUACACAUAGACAUUUGCUCUUGUUGCAAAACUUGUUAUAGUUCGAACUUUUCUGGUUGUUGCUGCGGCUAGGAAUUGGGAGCUUCAUCAGAUGGAUGUUCACAAUGCUUUCUUACACGGUGAGCUCAAUGAAGAAGUUUACAUGCGCCUACCGCCUGGUUCCACCUCAAACAAAUCUGAAAUGGUUUGUCGUCUAAGAAAGUCAUUAUAUGGAUUAAAGCAAGCUCCACGUUGUUGGUUUGCAAAGUUGGCAGCGACUUUGAAGACUUACAGCUUUGCUCAAUCGAGCUUAGAUUAUUCUCUCUUUACCUUGUAUCGGGAUAGCAUACAUAUACUUGUGAUUGUGUAUGUUGACGAUAUAAUUGUUUCGGAAAACAACAGCGAAGCUAUUCGGGUGUUCAAGAUGUAUUUGAGUGAUUGUUUUUAUAUGAUAGAUUUGGGUCCAUUGAAAUAUUUUUUGGGUAUUGAAGUUGCAAGAAAUCCGACAGGAAUCUUCCUGUCUCAGCGGAAGUAUGUGUUAGAUAUUAUCUCUAAGGCGGGACUACUUGGUGCAAAACCGGACCCAUUUCCCUUGGAACCGAAUCAUCAGCUAGCUUUGGCCGAAGGCCUUUAUUUUUCUGAUCCUGUGAAAUAUCGACGACGCUUAGGCAGAUUAAUUUAUCUUUCCGCUACACGGCCAGAGUUGUCCUAUCCAGUUCAUAUGCUUUCUCAAUUUAUGCAGCAGCCGCGUGAGCGACAUUGGGAAGCAGCUCUGCGGGUAGUUCGCUAUCUGAAAAGUAACCCUGGUCAAGGUGUGCUUUUAAGAUUAGAUUGUGACUUGCAACUUUAUGGGUGGUGUGAUUUUGAUUAGGCAAGCUGCCGUCUAUCUCAGCGUUCUUUAUCUGGGUGGUUUGUCAUGCUUGGAUCCUCUCCUAUAUCUUGGAAAUCUAAGAAACAACACACAGUUGCGCGGUCUUCUGCUGUGGCCGAGUAUCGUGCCAUAGCAACAAUUACAUGUGAGCUCAAAUGGCUUAAAGGGUUAUUGAUGUCUCUCAGAGUUGAUCACUCACAACCCAUGCACCUGUAUUGUGACAGCCAGGCUGCUCUUCAUCUAGUUGCCAACCCCGUGUUUCAUGAACGGACCAAGCACAUCGAAGUUGACUGUCAUUUUGUUCGAGGCGAAAUUCAACGAAGAAACAUACGGCCUGCCUAUGUGUCUACUACUAUUUAGCUAGCUUAUAUCUUCACAAAGGCACUUGGCAGCAAAGAGUUCGAGUUCCUUCUUCACAAGUUGGGCAUUCGUGAUCUCCAUGCUCCAACUUAAGGGGGGGUGUUAACUCACGUGUGUGUAUAUAUAUAUAGCAAGUCACGUGUAUAUAUUAUUGGUUGUUAUAUCUUUCCUAGUUUGAUAGGAUUUCCUUGUGAACUAGGGUAAUUCUUAUCUAGGGUAAUUCUUAUCAACUAAUGUACAUAUAAAUAUUGAUCAAUAGAGAACAAAGAGAAGGACAAAAAGGGUGGUUUUCCAUCGUGAAUUUCUUCAAUAAUCAUUACAAAAUUUGUUUGAGAAACUGAUAUUUGGAGUUGAGUGGAAGAAAUUAAAAAAAUUAGAAAAAGGACAUUUUGGAAAUUAAAAUGUUGAAAGAUACAAAGCUCGCUUGGUGAUCCUUGGGAACAAGCAAGUUGAAGGAAUUGAUUACACAUAGACAUUUGCUCUUGUUGCAAAACUUGUUAUAGUUCGAACUUUUCUGGUUGUUGCUGCGGCUAGGAAUUGGGAGCUUCAUCAGAUGGAUGUUCACAAUGCUUUCUUACACGGUGAGCUCAAUGAAGAAGUUUACAUGCGCCUACCGCCUGGUUCCACCUCAAACAAAUCUGAAAUGGUUUGUCGUCUAAGAAAGUCAUUAUAUGGAUUAAAGCAAGCUCCACGUUGUUGGUUUGCAAAGUUGGCAGCGACUUUGAAGACUUACAGCUUUGCUCAAUCGAGCUUAGAUUAUUCUCUCUUUACCUUGUAUCGGGAUAGCAUACAUAUACUUGUGAUUGUGUAUGUUGACGAUAUAAUUGUUUCGGAAAACAACAGCGAAGCUAUUCGGGUGUUCAAGAUGUAUUUGAGUGAUUGUUUUUAUAUGAUAGAUUUGGGUCCAUUGAAAUAUUUUUUGGGUAUUGAAGUUGCAAGAAAUCCGACAGGAAUCUUCCUGUCUCAGCGGAAGUAUGUGUUAGAUAUUAUCUCUAAGGCGGGACUACUUGGUGCAAAACCGGACCCAUUUCCCUUGGAACCGAAUCAUCAGCUAGCUUUGGCCGAAGGCCUUUAUUUUUCUGAUCCUGUGAAAUAUCGACGACGCUUAGGCAGAUUAAUUUAUCUUUCCGCUACACGGCCAGAGUUGUCCUAUCCAGUUCAUAUGCUUUCUCAAUUUAUGCAGCAGCCGCGUGAGCGACAUUGGGAAGCAGCUCUGCGGGUAGUUCGCUAUCUGAAAAGUAACCCUGGUCAAGGUGUGCUUUUAAGAUUAGAUUGUGACUUGCAACUUUAUGGGUGGUGUGAUUUUGAUUAGGCAAGCUGCCGUCUAUCUCAGCGUUCUUUAUCUGGGUGGUUUGUCAUGCUUGGAUCCUCUCCUAUAUCUUGGAAAUCUAAGAAACAACACACAGUUGCGCGGUCUUCUGCUGUGGCCGAGUAUCGUGCCAUAGCAACAAUUACAUGUGAGCUCAAAUGGCUUAAAGGGUUAUUGAUGUCUCUCAGAGUUGAUCACUCACAACCCAUGCACCUGUAUUGUGACAGCCAGGCUGCUCUUCAUCUAGUUGCCAACCCCGUGUUUCAUGAACGGACCAAGCACAUCGAAGUUGACUGUCAUUUUGUUCGAGGCGAAAUUCAACGAAGAAACAUACGGCCUGCCUAUGUGUCUACUACUAUUUAGCUAGCUUAUAUCUUCACAAAGGCACUUGGCAGCAAAGAGUUCGAGUUCCUUCUUCACAAGUUGGGCAUUCGUGAUCUCCAUGCUCCAACUUAAGGGGGGGUGUUAACUCACGUGUGUGUAUAUAUAUAUAGCAAGUCACGUGUAUAUAUUAUUGGUUGUUAUAUCUUUCCUAGUUUGAUAGGAUUUCCUUGUGAACUAGGGUAAUUCUUAUCUAGGGUAAUUCUUAUCAACUAAUGUACAUAUAAAUAUUGAUCAAUAGAGAACAAAGAGAAGGACAAAAAGGGUGGUUUUCCAUCGUGAAUUUCUUCAAUAAUCAUUACAAAAUUUGUUUGAGAAACUGAUAUUUGGAGUUGAGUGGAAGAAAUUAAAAAAAUUAGAAAAAGGACAUUUUGGAAAUUAAAAUGGAUAUUUGAUAGAAAAGGGGCUCUAAAAGGAAAUCAAAGGGUGCUAAUAGUCCUAUUAUUUUAGAAAAAGUAGAGGAAUGGGCAAGUCUAGAUCAAUUCUUUUAGAGCGAAGCUCCUACCACCCUUUUAAAACUAUGUGAAACCCCACGUAUUAUAUGUAUUACUCUUAUUUUGAUAAAAUUUAGAGAAAAGGACAAAAGGUUAUAAUAGAGUUUAAUUAAUUAUGAAACAUAAUUUUUUAUAAUAAAAACAUAUAAUUUAUUGCUAUAUUGCCUCAUAAUUAUUUUGACUUUAAAAUAAUUAUUUAUGUCACAUAAAGAUGGGUUCAUGAUUUGUAAGUAUAAAAAUAUUUUAAUUUAAGUUAAAUUCAUAUUUAUCCUUUUAUGUAAUUUUCUCAAACUACUACAAAUAUAAGGUUUUAUAAGAAUUUUGAAAAGCGACCAACCAAAGUAGACUAUUUGAAAACCAUCACGUCAAGCCAUGAGGACAGUUAAUUGGAUUUUCUUAAUGUGAAUGCUCAUUUUUUUAAAAUUCCAGUCAAAGCUAUGCAUUGAACAAUUUGGCACCAUGAUCACCUCUGUAGGUUUCCUUAGUCUACAAAUACUAAAGUGAUCCGUGAAUUAUUUUGUCUCCGUUUCCAAGUAUUAGGUAGAAUUAAUGUACUAGGCAUUUUAGCCCUAGGAUAUGUGUGCGUGUGUGUAACAUAUAAAAGUCAAACACGUGAUUUGAAAAUUUUUCAAAGUUUAGAGAUAUUAGAUAGAUUUAGCCCCAGGAUAUCGCAUGAUAUUAAUGAUAACGAGACAAAGGCUUGAAAAAUCAAACAUUAAACACAGCGACACAAUGGCAUGAAAAAUCAAAGCAAACGAUAAUGUGUUUCAAAGGUUUAUCCUUUCUGUGAGUGAUAGGACUCCAUAAAGUAGAAAUUGAAGCAUGACUGAUCUAUACUUACCAACUAACUAAAUUAAGAUUAUGUUUGAAAAAUCAUACAUAACUUGGAAAAUAAUUAGGUCAUGUUUGGUUUGAAGAAAAGGAAGGAGAGGAAAAGAGUGGAAUGGAGAGGAAGGGAGAAGAAAAGAAUGGAAAAGAGUAGUGAAAUUAGAUUUUAUUGUUUGAUUUGAUAUAAAAUUUGAUAAAGAAAUGAAUUAUAAUUUUUUUCUUUAGAUAAAUUUAUCAUCUACCUUAAAUAUUAAACUAUUUAUGUUAGUAAUUAAAAAAAUAUAUACAUAAAAUAAAAUGGCGGUCCGGUGGCUCGCGGUGGAGGUCCGGCGAAUUCCGACGGUGGUCCGGCGGCUGUCACCCUUCAAUAGCCGAAUGCCUCCUCACUAAAGAUGAUAAGAGGUAGAAAAAUGAUAUUUAUUAAUAAUGCUUAAAGAACAGGCCAUAGAAACAAUUAUAAAACCAUAUGGUGUUGGCGUGAUUUUCAUUGGUUUUUUUAAUUAAUUGUAACACCAUAUGAUGUUAACUUAUUGUUAUCAUUAUUUAUUUAUUUAUUUUUACAACUGUAAGAUUAUAUGGUAUUAACGUGUUUUCUUUUGUCAUUAUGAAAAUUCUUUCUGGAUGAUGAAUAUUAUCACUCUUAAGAGGUAAGAUACUGAAAAAAAAAGUAAAUGAUAUAAUCUAAUCAAGUGAUCGUUCUCAAUCAUACACUAAAUCUAUCAAAUAUAUCCCUUAAAGAAACGGUCCAUAAAGCCUUCUUCUAGAUAAUAAUGUUUAUUACUCCAAAAAUGCUCCUGAAAACGCAGUUUAAAGAAAAAAAAAAAUAGUGGUAAACAACAAUAAAAUUUGUGAAGUGGACAACUAUUAUGGCAUUUUGCAAUAAUUGAGAAAUUUAAAUCAUAAGUGAUAUAAGAACUUUCUCACUAGUCAUACAGGAUAUUACUGUAUUAGUAUAAAUAAGCCAUUAGACGACCACAAUCCUCAUGGUUUUCUUGCAGGAAUAGAAAAUGGUUCUCUCGGAUGACACCAAAACAUCUUCUGAAAAUGGGUCGGAAAUCGACAGGGAGCGCAAGGCUUUUGAUGAUACGAAAGCCGGUGUCAAAGGACUAGUGGACGCUGGAGUAGUGAAUAUUCCCAGGAUAUUCAUUCGACCACCUGGAGAGCUUGCUGAGGAGUUGACGACUCACCAGGGGAAAUUACAAGCGCCAGUUAUCGAUCUUGAUGGCAUCAGAUACAAUAAACUUGAAGAUAUUGUUGAUCAAGUUCGGGCUGCUUGCGAAACAUGGGGUUUUUUCCAAGUUAUCAAUCAUGGGGUUCCCUUACACCUGAUGGAAGAGAUGAUUGAAGGAGUUCGCAAGUUUAAUGAACAAGAUGUUGAGGUGAAGAAACAGUUCUACACACGUGAGCCCACAAGAAACGUUAGAUUCUACAGCAACUUUGAUCUGUAUCACUCACGAACCGCAAGUUGGAAGGACACGUUGGCCAUUUUUACUUCGGGUACCAAAAGUUUGGAACCCAAUGAAUUGCCCAAAGUUUGCAGGUAUAUACAUAAUCGAUCCGUCUCUGUAUAUACAUUGCUGGUUAAUUAAGAGCCCUUUUUAAUUAAUGUUCAGUAUAUUGUAACCAGCCAUCAUGAGUUGUGAUAUCAUAUUCUUCUGUACAAUCGUUCAUCCGAAUUUGCAGAGAUACCAUAAUGGAGUACAUAAAAGAAGUCUCAAAAUUGGGUGAGACUCUGUUUGAAAUACUAUCAAUGGCUCUAGGACUGAAGCCUGAAUAUUUGAACGAUAUGGGAUGCUUCAAUAUAUACGGCUUUACCUGCAACUACUAUCCGCACUGCCCACAGCCAAAGCUGACUUUGGGAGCUAAAAGGCACUCUGAUCCUUCAUUCCUUACAAUUCUGUUGCAAGACCAAAUCGGUGGCCUUCAAGUCUUCUAUGAAAAUCAGUGGAUUGAUGUUAACCCUAUAUCAGGAGGCUUGGUGGUAAAUAUAGGGGACUUUCUCCAGGUUUGUCUUUGAAAAUAACGGAGACAAUUAAUCUUCCCAUCAUCUGCUUAUUUUUCGUGUUUUAACAGUAACUAUAUAUGCUAAUUAAAGUUUUCAAUAAUUAAUCAAUUCAGG
This 13428-nucleotide long non-coding RNA is filed under the name Citrus sinensis (sweet orange). Its description in RNAcentral is "long non-coding RNA (CSIN_LNC003824)". The record is from RNAcentral. Lineage: Eukaryota; Viridiplantae; Streptophyta; Magnoliopsida; Sapindales; Rutaceae.